AUGAACGCUGGCGGCGUGCUUAACACAUGCAAGUCGAACGGAAAGGCCCAAGCUUGCUUGGGUACUCGAGUGGCGAACAGGUGAGUAACACGUGGGUGAUCUGCCCUGCACUUCGGGAUAAGCCUGGGAAACUGGGUCUAAUACCGGAUAGGACCACUUCUUGGAUGUUGUGGUGGAAAGUUUUCUCGGUGUGGGAUGAGCUCGCGGCCUAUCAGCUUGUUGGUGGGGUAAUGGCCUACCAAGGCGUCGACGGGUAGCCGGCCUGAGAGGGUGUACGGCCACAUUGGGACUGAGAUACGGCCCAGACUCCUACGGGAGGCAGCAAUGGGGAAUAUUGCACAAUGGGCGCAAGCCUGAUGCAGCGACGCCGCGUGGGGGAUGACGGCCUUCGGGUUGUAAACUCCUUUCGCUAGGGACGAAGCGUUUUUGUGACGGUACCUGGAGAAGAAGCACCGGCUAACUACGUG
This 467-nucleotide ribosomal RNA is filed under the name uncultured bacterium. RNAcentral describes it as "partial 16S ribosomal RNA". It matches the Rfam family "Bacterial small subunit ribosomal RNA", at positions 29 to 507 of the family's 1533-position model. The record is from RNAcentral.